GUCAUCCUCAUGGGUUGAAACCUUCAAGAACAUGCCCUGGAUCACGCCGUUCAGCUCCAUCGCCACGGUCUCCAGGGAUUUGAUUUGAGACUGGAGAAUCUAAGCACAGAAGAACCGAAAGCACGUCAGCCAACCUCAAAGCCUUGAGGAAGUGUCCACUUCCUGCCUCCACCCUCAUCCUGUGCCAGGAGGGAACCACAGGAAGAUGGACAGAACACAGAGAGACCUGCCAUGUGCUACCCCUACCUCUCCGCUGGUGCUUCCCGUCUCUAUCCAUCUCCCUAGGGAGGACCAGGGACCAAACACCCCAAGCAGGAAUCACCCCUUCCAUAAAACAGGGCUGGAGAUCAAACCCAGGGCCUUGUACAUGUGAGAUGGGAGGCAAGUGCUCUGCACUGAGGUACAACCCCAGCCCAUUCAUGGGAUUGUUUUUAGACAGGUCUGGCUAUAUAUCCCAAUCUGGCCUUAGACUUGCAAUCCUUAAGCCUCAGCCUCCCAAUGUGGCAUUUUAAAAAAAUUAAUUUGCCAAUCUUGCUUUUGUGUGGUAAAACUCUCAUUAUUAAAGCAUAUAAUUCCAUGGCAUUUAGUAUAUAUAGAAAGUGUGAGACCAUCACCAUCCAUCUAGUUUCAAGACAUUUCAUUCCCCAAAAGGGAAAUCCUAUCUCCAUCAGCAGUCCACACUACCUGUUCCUGUUUCCCAAAAAUCACCGAUCUACUUUCUCCUCUAUGGAUUUGCCUUUUCUACUGGUAAUCUUUUUCGGUUUUGGUACCAGGGAUCGAACUCAGGCCCCUGUGCUUUCGAGGCAGGCUCUGGAACCACUGAGCUAAAUCCCCAGCUGGAUUUGCCUCUUCUAAACAUCUCAGACAAAUAAAAUCACAACGUGUGGCCUGUUAUGUCUGGCUUCUUCCACUUAAUAAUCGUGUAGGGAUCCUCCCUGUGUUGUUUUGCCUCUCCUGCCUGGCAUCAGACCUACCUUGGCCCAUCAGGGCUCUUCCUCCCUACCACAGACUCCAAGCUCCGUUCUUCAGGGCUCUAGGGCUCCCAAUCCACCAGAUCGGACACCUACAAUGCAUCCAACUCUGUGCCAAGCACUUCCCAUGCACUGUGUCAACAUAAGUUCUAGAUACAGUCCUAGUAGGAGCAAC
This is a long non-coding RNA of Fukomys damarensis (Damara mole-rat), 1146 nucleotides long. RefSeq lists it as uncharacterized. NCBI's taxonomy places the organism in Eukaryota, Metazoa, Chordata, Mammalia, Rodentia, Bathyergidae. The transcript is spliced from 4 exons. The record is from RefSeq and is a predicted model, not a curated record.